This 29-nucleotide non-coding RNA is filed under the name Mus musculus (house mouse). Lineage: Eukaryota; Metazoa; Chordata; Mammalia; Rodentia; Muridae. The record is from RNAcentral.
UGUUUUACGCCUCUGUUUGGAGCACUCGC